AGACAACCAUUCAUAGCAGAGGAAAAUCACGAGUCUUCUUAGAAGCCAGAAUCCACGGGGGAGUACCACACAGGCACGGAAAGGUCCUGGGGUUUCCAUACGGAUCAGGAUCCCCAGUAUCAGAAGGAAUCGGAUCAAAGGUAAUGGUGCCGUUGUUGAGGUCCAAUGUGGUUGGAGGGGACAUGUCAGGAGCCGAGCUGUGAUGAUAGAGCUCCGAAUUGCAGUCAUCGAGGAUGGGUUCCUGCUUAAUGAUUCGGCUCAUCAUCUCUGAUGUGGAGAGCGAUGGCGUUGAUACUAUCGUCAGACCGUGAGCACGUGCCUGGAUCUCCAACUCCUG
Molecule: long non-coding RNA, 337 nt
Organism: Syngnathoides biaculeatus (alligator pipefish)
Lineage: Eukaryota; Metazoa; Chordata; Actinopteri; Syngnathiformes; Syngnathidae
Exons: 2
Source: RefSeq, a predicted model, not a curated record